UACGUAGGGGGCAAGCGUUAUCCGGAUUUACUGGGUGUAAAGGGAGCGCAGGCGGCGUGGCAAGUCAGAUGUGAAAACCCGGGGCCCAACCCCGGGAGUGCAUUUGAAACUGCCAUGCUGGAGUGCCGGAGAGGUAAGCGGAAUUCCUAGUGUAGCGGUGAAAUGCGUAGAGAUCGGGAGGAACACCAGUGGCGAAGGCGGCCUACUGGGCUCUAACUGACGCUGAGGCACGAAAGCGUGGGUAGCAAACAGG
RNAcentral lists this ribosomal RNA (253 nucleotides) under uncultured Eubacteriales bacterium. RNAcentral's name for it is "uncultured Clostridiales bacterium partial 16S ribosomal RNA". It matches the Rfam family "Bacterial small subunit ribosomal RNA", at positions 524 to 776 of the family's 1533-position model. Lineage: Bacteria; Bacillati; Bacillota; Clostridia; Eubacteriales. The record is from RNAcentral.